Ipomoea nil (Japanese morning glory) is the source of this 2092-nucleotide RNA transcript. It is a transcript of the gene named receptor-like protein 12, with no coding region annotated. Lineage: Eukaryota; Viridiplantae; Streptophyta; Magnoliopsida; Solanales; Convolvulaceae. The record is from RefSeq and is a predicted model, not a curated record. The transcript is spliced from 2 exons.
GCAUUAUUUGACUAUUAUAGACUUCCAAAACAACAGCUUCUCUGGUCCAAUACCACAAGCCAUCGGAAACCUCACUGGCCUUUAUUAUCUAGUGCUUUCCAAUAAUAAUCUCACCGGGAUGUUGCCACCUCAAAUAAGAAACUUGAAAAGUUUGGAAAAUCUAGAAUUGUCAAAAAACAAUAUCUAUGGACCAAUACUUGAGAUUAUUGGAAACCUCACAAGCCUCACAUAUAUUCAGAUUUCCUAUAACAAUUUCACUGGAACACUUCCACCUCAAAUAGGAAACUUGAUGAAUUUGAAAAUUCUAGACUUGUCAAGAAACAACUUUUGUGGUCCAAUAUCUCAAAUAAUUGGAAACCUCACACAACUUGUAGUCCUACGCCUUUCCACAAACAAUUUCAUUGGUACACUUAUGUUUGAUAGUGGAAAUCCAACAUCAAAUCUUAUCUCUUCAACCAUUUGCAAUUUACGUUCUCUCGUAAUUUUGGAUUUGGCAAACAAUUUGUUUACUGGGCCAAUACCUCAAUGUUUGGUAAACAAAGAUCUGUCUGUGUUAGAUUUGCACCAGAAUCAAUUUUAUGGGCCAAUCCCAACACAAUUUAAGGUUUGCAACUCAUUGAGCAGACUUAGUUUGUAUGAUAACCAAUUAGAGGGUGCAGUGCCACGAUCUUUAAUCAAUUGUAAAGGGUUAGAAGUUCUUGAUCUUGGACACAACAAUUUGAGUGGUACAUUUCCAAUGUGGUUAAGAGUUAUUCCAAAUCUAAAGGUUCUUAACUUGAGAUUUAAUCGGCUGAGUGGUUCCAUCCGAAAUAGGAGGAUUAAAGGGCAUUUGUUUCCACAACUUCGUGUCUUUGACCUCUCCUCUAAUGGAUUCACAGGGGAUUUACCCACAUGGCUUUUCAAGAAUUUUAAAGCCAUGACAAAUGUUGUUGAAGAUAAAUCACAAAUGUACCUUGGUUUGAACAAUACUGGUGAAGACAUUUUAGAUCCCUGGUACUAUGAAGAUUCAAUGAUUGUGAGUGUGAAGGGGCAAGAGCGUGAACUUGUAAGAGUAUUUAGCAUGUUUAUUACCAUUGAUCUCUCAAACAACAAAUUUGAAGGGCAUAUUCCAAAUAGCAUUGGAGAUCUUCUUGCAUUACGUGAAUUAAAUUUAUCACGUAACAAGUUCACUGGACACAUCCCAAUGUCUCUUGGAAAUUUAUCCAUGUUGGAAUCCUUAGACCUUUCUUUGAAUCAAAUUGGUGGAGUUAUCCCUGAGCAAUUGACAAGAAUUACAACUCUGGAAGUGUUGAAUCUCUCACAUAAUAAGCUUGUGGGAUGCAUACCUCAAGGCCCACAAUUCAAUACAUUUGAAGCAAAUUCAUACCAAGGAAAUGAUGGUUUGAAAGGAAAGCCUUUGUCACAAAGCUGUGGGGAUAGUGUGACACCACAACUUCCUGCACCAAAGGAUUUUUACAAAGAAGAUGAUUCGAGUUUUUUGAGCGGAUGCACAAUAAAAGUUGUGGCAAUGGGGUAUGGUUGUGGUAUUCUUUUUGGAUUAUUCAUGGGAAGUCUCAUGUUCCUGACUGGAAAGCCAGAAUUCAUUAGAAGGUUUGCUGAGGAAGAAGCAUACAAACUAGCAAUGAAGGUCAAACGAAGAAAAUCAAAGACAAGAAGAAGAAGAAACUAGCUAGCUUUGCGCAUGUCAAUGGUAAGUAAUCUUUUUACACCAAAGUAAUUUACAACUAUAUAUGGUAUGUUUUGUUUGGUAAUGCAUAAGUGCAUGUAGAUGCAUGAAGGAAUAUACUGUGAAGUGUGUUUACAAACUUUUGCAGAACAGAGGGUGCUAUUAAAGAAGUGCAUGUUUUGGUUUGUUGCUGAUUCAGAAAUCACCUCUCAAGUACUGAUUGCUUUUGGAUAUCUAGCUAAGUAUUGAGAUGUGGAACAUGAAUUGAGGUAUGAAGUAGAGAUGUCGAGAGCGCGCUACUUAGUUCUGUUGGUGUUUCCUAUUCCUUUACCUUAGAUUGAACUUUAAGUAAUUUCUGUAGUUAACUUAUGUUUUGAGAUUUCAUGUAAUGACUUUAGACUUAUGUUGGAUUUGGUUGUGAACUUU